GAUGUUCACAAUGAGGAUACAAAGCUCCCUCUUCUGAUAUUUGGUUGAGGAAAAUUGCUGGCAGAAUCGAACCUAAAUAAAUAUUGCCAUCACUGAGUGA
RNAcentral lists this small nucleolar RNA (100 nucleotides) under Trifolium pratense (red clover). RNAcentral describes it as "snoRNA snoR30". It matches the Rfam family "Small nucleolar RNA R30/Z108". From Rfam's summary of the family: snoR30 is a C/D box small nucleolar RNA which acts as a methylation guide for 18S ribosomal RNA in plants. Lineage: Eukaryota; Viridiplantae; Streptophyta; Magnoliopsida; Fabales; Fabaceae. The record is from Rfam by way of RNAcentral.